UUGUUCUUCAGACCGGUAUUUGCUACUCGAACUUCUUCGUGGUCAGACAAUGGAACGUCUGCGCCAUCGUCAUCGUUUGAUGAUACGUUAUGGUAUUUCAACGCUGUAACCAUAUGUCGGUGACUUAAAAUCCUCCAGCGCACAUUUGAAAAAUAUGCAAUAUAACAUAUGUAUGUGCAUGCAUAUUUCUUGGCACAUUAGAAUCAUAACAAUUCAAACUCAACGACCUGUUGCGAAACGUUUGCGAUGUAGAAGUAAUCAAACUGUUGAAUAGAUUCACCAAUUGUAGGCUUUUUCCGACGAUUUGCUGCUUUGCUUGCAAAAGUCAACGCCAACACCAAAGCCAUUGUCAACGUUGACCUCAAUAUCAGCGGCUGCGCUAGCAACAACGAUGACAAUUAACUGUCAAUUCGCGCCAAAAACAAACACGAACACUCUCAGCAGUUUCUCAUAGAACCGCAAACAAGAUAGAAUGAAAGUAGAAUGAAAUGAGUGCAGCAGGUAAACUAUGAAAAAAAGUGUGAAUAAAAAAAUUAAUAACAAACAAGAAAGCCGGCAUAUUGGAAUAUGCACAUACACUAUUAUAUAACUACUAACAAAUAUUCAGUGAGUGCUGUGUGCGCUGUGAAAAAGCCGGUUAGAAAAUAAAAUGGGAAUUCGUCAUAAGUCGCUAAGCAAAACAAUUGCAUGUGUUGUAGGGAGAGGAGUGGGUGAGAAAUCGCACAGCGCUAAAUGUCGCUAAUUUGUAUGCACUUGCGAAUGUGAUGUGCACAGGAGUGCAAAGUGCAGCGGAUCAAGUUGAAUAGCAAUAAAAAAAAAUAGUUUGCACGCUAAUACAGAUUUAGACAUUAGUACGAUUGUAAAUGGAAAUGUAAUGCUGUAAUGCGCAACUAUAAAACAGCGACACGUACAGACUCGGCGUGUGCAUUACCUACUCGUGGAUAGUAUAUUCAAUUCAGAGAUUUAGCAAUUGUCUUAAUAGUUUGUAACACGCUCAAAUUUAUAUGCAAAAUUGGCUGGAAAGUGUGAAAAUUAUAAAUCGCAUCUUUGGAAUAUAUUCUGUAGAGAAAUCUGAAUUUAACGCUGUUCUUAACUGGCUUUGUGUUUUCAUGUGUGAUUGAGGCUUAGUGGCAUUGUGGAAUCAGCUGAUGUGUGCUUGUCAUAAAGACAUCAAAAAAGAGCAUCCAGUUCAGAGAUAUAGUGGUCACGAUAAAACGUAUUUUUUGAGAGGAGCUCCCGGAGAUCAGCUGUAGUUUCCUUUCCAAAUAAAUAUUUUUACUAAUACUAAGUCUUAAAAUACAGUUAAGAUACCAUAAUAAGUGUACAAAUUUUUGGAUCAGUAAAUUUGAAAGUUUUCUCAGAAAAAAUUCUGGAACUUUCGCUUUUUUCGGCGUUCUAACUGUAUAUAACCCCUUAAAGUGUUUGUGGUGCUAAAUUUAUAAAUAUAAUAUGAAUAUGUCUUUAUGUAGAAAAGUAUGUAGAUCAGGGAACCAUUUUUUCUUGCUUUUUCUUGACUUCUGCUCUACAAAACGUUACUUAGACAUAUAACCAUGUACAUGGACUACUGAUUUAUUUCCCUCUCGGACAAUAAAAUAUUGAUAAAAACAGUAGAGAACUACCCGACAAACUUAAUCUAAAAGUCUUCGGUCCAAACGGGGUUAAAUGCCGAAAAAAUAGCGCUUGGACGCAUAAAUCCGGAACCGGCUGUCGUGGCUACACAUCUGACACCUUUCUCCCUAUCGUCCGAUGUCGUCGAAGCAACACGUUUACUAGGCUUACCGUUGGAUGGCCUCGUUGACAACUUUACCACCCUAACGGGGACUAGGCAACCGUUACAACCGUUACAACAACAACAGAACUACCCGAAUAACCUGUAAACCUAAAGAUAAUGGUGCCUUCCAGCGAGUUAUGUUUAGCUAAGAAUCGGCAUCGAACAUAUCGCUAGACCACUGCAGCGGCAGAAUUACAACCAGCUACAACAACACCAUAGACCACUAUACUCAACUUAAAAUUCAUUGAUCAUAUGAUAUAAUUCUUGGUACAUAUGUACAUAUGUAUAUGUAUGUAUAUGCGUACAUACUUAUGUAUAUCAAUCAAUUAGAAGGAUUUAUGUUGUUUUAUAUACUUUUAUAAACAAAUAUAUCUAUAUAAGCUCGAAAUUUUUUUUGGUGCAUUGACAUUUGUAUUAUCGGAUUUUAUAUAUUUAAACGCGAUAAGAUAUUGUGCAAAAAAAUAGAACCGUUUAAUCAAGGUGACAUUUAUUUUGCCUAGUCAUGGUCUGCGCAGGCAAACAAAAAAUACAAUACAAAAUACAAAAAUGCGAAAAAUACAAAAAUACAGUGAUUACAAUAGAUUGAAAUAUGUAUGUAUGGUAUAUGCAGUCUACCAAAGCUAAAUUCAUACAAAAUUUGUGGAAAUGAAGUGUACUAUAAUAUAAUAAUGUGAAAUAACAAAAAAUUUGUUUUUUUUUUUUCAUUUCACAUUAGAAGUGUCCUCUUACAGGCACAGUUUAACUUUAGAUGUUUUUCUUAAAACUUUAUAAAAUUGAGUUAGGCAGUUAUGUUAUGCAUACGUACAUACACAUUUUAAUCGUCUGUAUUAUUAGAUAAGAUUAUCAAAUUUGCGUUAUAAAUAAUGAAAGCUAUUAGUAAUGGAAAAAUAUUUAUAUCAUAAAUCAGGAGAUAAUAAUCAAUGGCAAAACAAAGAAUGCAGAACUACAGAUCAUAUAUUCCAGACUAACUUUUGUUUCGAAAAUUUAUUAAAUAAAUGCCGUAUUAUAUACAUAUGUAAAUGCAUAUCAGGUACUAUAUUCAUUUCAUUGCAAG
Molecule: long non-coding RNA, 2825 nt
Organism: Bactrocera neohumeralis
Lineage: Eukaryota; Metazoa; Arthropoda; Insecta; Diptera; Tephritidae
Exons: 3
Source: RefSeq, a predicted model, not a curated record